This is a long non-coding RNA of Hydra vulgaris (swiftwater hydra), 3493 nucleotides long. RefSeq lists it as uncharacterized. Lineage: Eukaryota; Metazoa; Cnidaria; Hydrozoa; Anthoathecata; Hydridae. The record is from RefSeq and is a predicted model, not a curated record.
UUCCGUUGUAUUUAUAACUGAAAAUACAUGUUGAACUGCUAUUUAAGAAGAUUUUUAAAAGUUAUUUUUAUGUACACAUUUAUCUCCGAAAAGAAGUUCUGAAGUUUCACCUGCAAGGCGAAAAAAGUUCACCAGGCAUUUUACUAUAAACUGUUCUGUUCUUUUUAAUUUUAAAAUUACAUGAGCUUUAUUUGGUCCCUGGAGUUCUUAGAACGAGAUUAUGCUUAGUAGGAUUCUUGACACAAGACUUGUGCAUUCAAGUUCAAUUUUGAGUGAUUUUAAGUUUAUGUAAGUGCAUAACAUAAGUAUGUUAUGCACUUACAUAACAUGUUAUAUAUAAAAUGGAUCAUUUCAAAGCCAGGGAAAAAUUUUACAUGUUAAAAUAUGUGCUUAAAAAUAGUAAAUUUUAAAAUAUUUAAGCACUAGUGCUUCUUUAUGAUAAAACCAAUGAGUUUCUCAUCGUUUUAAAAACUUUUUAUAACAAUAUACAUUUUUAUUAUUAUUUAAUUACAAUAACUUAAUAAAUAAAAUAUUUAGGUUAUCUACAAGUAAACAUUAAAUAAAUAAAUUUAUAAACAAAUUUAUAAAGAUUACCCCAGAAAUUGCAACUACCCCAGAAAUUACAUGUAUAAUUAGAAUACAUUGUUAAAUUUAUUUGUUUAUAAUAUUCAUGCAGGAUAGUCAUGCAGAAUAGUAAAAACUCUAUAUAAAAUAAAUACAUCUGCUAUUAUUUUUCUUUAUUGUUUCUGAUUGUUUAUAGAGAAAUUUUAAUCAGUUCACUAAAAGAUUUUGAACGUAAACUUUAUUUCUAGCAGUCCAACAUUGUAAAAAGACUAAAUAUAGUAAGUUAUUGUUGACACUAUAGAAUUAAGUGAUGCUCUAUAGUAUGGAUUAAAAAUAAGAAUGGUAAUUUCCAACAAAUAAAUAAAAAGUGAAGGCCUAAAGUUAUUGCUUUAAAGGUAUUGUUUGUUUUGUCUAUUGUUGUUAAAUCAUUCUGGAUUUAUAUUUUAUAUUUUUCUCAAAAUUUAAGUGCUUCACUGUAUCAGAAUAACUGCCAGAAAUGAAAAUUUGAUGCAUUUUAAGUUGGUAAAGUAUUUAGUCGUUUAAUAUAUAAUAUAAUAAAUUUAAGUUGUAGGUGUAAGGCUUGAUUCAAGGCUUGAUUUCAAUCACCUAUGGAAUCAAUUAGAGUUAAUUGGAAAUGAGGGCAUCCUAUGAUUCAACCGAAUCCCUAAUUUCAAUUUAGAACCGAAUAUGAAAAAUUUAUUACACAACCGAAAAUAUUCACGAAAAAAAUUAGAACCGAAAAAAUUUUAAUCAAAUUUUCGAUCGAAAGUCAUAAACGAUUUUAGAACCAAAAAAAUUUCGAUCGAAUUUUCGAUCGAAAGUCAUUAAUGAUUUUAGAACCAAAAAAAUUUCCAUCGAAUUUUUAAUCAAAAGUCAUUAAUGAUUUUAGAACCGAAUUUGAUUAAAAUGGUUUACAACCGAAAGUUGUAGCACCGAAUUUUUUUAGCGUUUAUAAAUAUUUUUAGUUUAAUGCUUUUGUAAUAUAAGUUUAAUGCGCUUACUGUUUUGAAUAUAUUCUUACAUAAUAAAUUGAAAAUAACAUUAUUUGUUUUUAAAAACAUUUUGUAGUUGGUUGAAUAAUAAAAACAUAAUGGAGUAUCAAAAAGUUAAAGGCGAAAGGAGAAAUUCAUUCCUCUACAUAACUGGGAAUAAUUGCUAUGUAAAAUCAAGAAUCACAACGGCUACAUUUAUUUAAAGUGCAAAAACUAUCAACUGAGUGUUAGAACUGCAAAAAUACGUAAAUAAAAAAGUGAUUUACUUAAGACAAUGCUAGGCCACUCUUGCGAUUCUAAAACAGAAGAUUUUAGCCAUUUGGAAGCGAUGGAAAGAAUGAGACUCAAAGCUGCAACAACACAAAUUCCAUUACGCCAGAUUUACAUGGAAAUCAUUCGAGACUGUCCUGAAAAUGUUAAAAAAAAUUUAUUCAACUUAAAAUGUGAACAGAUAAAAUGUGGUGCAAGAAAAACUCAGUACAGUGCAAAAUCCAACAGCGUAGAAGAAGCAGUGUUGGCAAUAUCUGAGCCAAAUCUAUUUAACAACAUUCUGAAAGGAAUCGUCAGAUUUGAAGACCAGUUGGCCAUACUAUUUUGUUCAUCAGCACUACAAAUAUUAAUUUAGAAAUUUAUUUAACAUCUUUUAACCUUAGCUUGCACAUAAUAUUUUGUUUUUGUUAUAUUUUUCAAUACUUUUACAAAUUUAUUCAUUUUUUUCAGGAUCUACAAUUGUUUUAAUUGAUGCAACAUUUCGCGUUGUUCCUAGCAUCUUCAAAGAAGGUCAACUACUAUAUAUCUCCAUUAUGCAUUAUGACAUUGUCCUUUCAGUGUUUCAUGUACUUAUGACUGGGAGAAAAGAAAUUAUUUACAUUGCUAUAUUUAGAAAAAUUAAGGAACUUUCAAGUGACUUUUAACCACGAAUUUCUAUGGCUGACUAUGAAGCAGCAAUAGGCAGUGCCUUGAAGGUUGUCUUCCCUGAAAUAAGAUUGACUGGUUGCUGGUUUCAUUACGGCCAGGCAAUUUUAAAAAAAAUCAAAGUUGUUGGUCUUCAAUCUGAGUACAUCAACAACCCUGCAAUUAAAAGGUGGUGCCGGAAAUUCGUUGUCCAUGUGCCUCUUGCCUUGUGUUCUCAUCAGAGCAGAAGUAGAUUUACUCAAAACAGAGAUGAGUCGAUUUGCGAACAUUGAAACUCGUGAAAAAAUGAGAAAGUUUGUGUAUUACUUUGAGAAGUAUUGGAUGACAACACAAAUCCCAGCUUUUUUUUUCUAUGCACGGACUUCAAUUCAGAACCAACAAUGUCUCGGAAUCACUGCAUUCAAAAAUGAAUAGAUGCAUGGCUGCUCACCCUAGCUUCAGGAGGUUUCUAGACAAUAUAUAUCAUCAGAACUAGAACUCAACCAAUCGCAGAAUGGUCAUCAACCUCGAAGAGAACAAAGAAGAGAGAGAGAGAGUUCGAUCUUUUGAACAAUUACAAAGUUAUGAAUAAAAACUUUCCACAGGAGAGUGGACUCCAACAAAGUUUCCUGAGGCUUCAGCUUUCUACUUUAAUGACAUCAAACUCACAUCAGUGGGAGAUACAGAACAAGAGCAGGACAAAAAUCCACAAGAGAAUGUUCAGGAUCAUCAACAAGAGACCAUGCCUAUGGAGACAUUGUGCAAGAUAUGUCUUGCACUUCCUUUAGAAGUUGUUGUUCUGCCGUGUAGACACUUUUGUAUGUGUCUUCAGUGUUCAGAUAACCUUGCAAAUGACGGAAACAAAAGAUGUCCAAUUUGUCGUUCCACAUGUAGCCCAGAUGAUUAAGUUUUUCAUUUGGUACUAUUUGAUGGUUUUCAGGGUUACCUUGCAAUUAGUUACUAGUCGCUUUCCGGAAAACAAACCUUCCAUUGAGUUUAACGCCGUUUAAGUUAUUGUAAUUGUUACACGUUGUUAUAAGCCU